AGUGAACGCUGGCGGUAGGCCUAACACAUGCAAGUCGAACGGCAGCACAGUAAGAGCUUGCUCUUACGGGUGGCGAGUGGCGGACGGGUGAGGAAUACAUCGGAAUCUACUUUUUCGUGGGGGAUAACGUAGGGAAACUUACGCUAAUACCGCAUACGACCUACGGGUGAAAGCAGGGGAUCUUCGGACCUUGCGCGAUUGAAUGAGCCGAUGUCGGAUUAGCUCGUUGGCGGGGUAAAGGCCCACCAAGGCGACGAUCCGUAGCUGGUCUGAGAGGAUGAUCGUCCACACUGGAACUGAGACACGGUCCAGACUCCUACGGGAGGCAGCAGUGUGGAAUAUUGGCCAAUGGGCGCAAGCCUGAUCCAGCCCUACCGCGUGGGUGAAGAAGUCCUUCGGGUUGUAAAGCCCUUUUGUUGGGAAAGAAAAGCAGCAGGUUAAUACCCCGCUGUUCUGACUGUACCCAAAGAAUAAGCACCGGCUAACUUCGUG
Molecule: ribosomal RNA, 492 nt
Filed under: uncultured bacterium
Lineage: Bacteria
Description: partial 16S ribosomal RNA
Rfam family: Bacterial small subunit ribosomal RNA
Source: RNAcentral